UCCGAAAUAACAAAACAAAAAAUAAAAAAACAAAAAACUAUUCAUCUGAUCAUCUCUCUCUCUCUCUCUCUCUCUGCGAUGACUGUUAGUGUUACCAAUGGCGAGUUUCUCAGUGUAGACGAAUAAUGAAUUGAGUUUACAUUUUUCAUUCUGUAACGUUUACAACUUUGCAUUUACACUGGUUAAUUGGCUAAGAACCACUAUCACUCCUCCAAUUUACUCAGUGCUUCAUGCUUAAUUUCUAUUCUAUUCUGAUACCUAAAAAUUUCUAAGCGCCAAACUCGAAUUGCUAUAUAAGCUUGUUGGAGGAAUAGCUCCAAUAUCUUGAGAUAAGAUGCCGAGAAUGGAAGACAUUCUAAACCUUCCAGUUCAAGAUCCCCGGUGUGCUGAGUUCUCUGCUGCUCACAUAAAUUGGGUGAAAUUAGAGGGUGGUCGCCAAGGGGGUGAUGAUAUUGCUCUGAUUCCUUUUGUUAGAGUGGAUGAUUUUGUGAAAGGGGAGUCUUCAAAUCCAGAAUGUCCUGCUAGCUUCCGUGUAGAAUCAAGGAGGAAGAGACCUGAGGGGAGCGUCACUAAACCGAGGGUUGACGGCUAUCUUGAAUAUACCUUGUACUGGUGUUCUUAUGGUCCUGAGGACUAUCGAGAAGGUGACUCGUGCAUAGGAGAUAGCAAAAGUACCAAGCCUGCUUCAGGGAAGGGAAGCAGACCAGGGAGGCGUCAUAUGAUGAGAGGCUGCCUUUGCCAUUUCACUGUUAAAAGAUUAUAUACACGCCCUCUUCUUGCUCUAAUCAUAUAUAACCAAAGAAGGCAUGUAGAUAAAACAGGGGCACCGUGUCAUGGAAUACUUGAUAGGGAUGCAAUAGGAACAAGAGCUAUGUAUGCUCCACGCAUUUCCGAUGAGUUACGCCAGAAAGUGAUGUCUAUGCUUUAUGUUGGGAUAUCUCUUGAUAACAUAAUACAGCACCAUGUAGAGGUGAUGCAGAAGCAAGGUGGACCCCAAAACCGUGAUGAUUUUCUCACUCGAAAUGAUGUGCGCAACAUGGAACGGAGUAUCCGUAAUUCUUCACAUGAACUGCAGGAAAACGAUGAAUGCAGUGUAAAGAUAUGGGUCCAACGCCAUCAGAAGCAUGUUUUCUAUCACCAAGAUAACUCAGGUUCACAAUCAUUUGUUUUGGGCAUACAGACAGAUUGGCAGCUGCAACAGAUGAUUCGCUAUGGAAAUAACAGUUUCAUUUCUUUUCAUUCAACAUUUGGCUUGAAGAAGCUUAAGUAUCCAGUGUGUUCGUUACUUGUUUUUGGUUCAUCUCAAAAUGCAAUUCCAGUUGCUUGGAUAAUCACCUCAUCCUUUGUUGGAAAAGACAUACAUAAAUGGAUUGCAUUGCUAUCUGAAAAGAUAAGAGCCAAGGAUCCUAGAUGGAGGCCUAGUGCUAUUAUACUGGAUAAUCCAUCUUUUGACUAUAAUACCAUAAGAGAGGCAUUCCAGUGUCGCAUCUUGUUAUGUGCCUGGCAUGUUCGCCGUUCUUGGAUCAAAAAGCUUUUUAAGACAUGUUGCAACUUUGAGGUGCAAAGGGAGAUGUUACGGCACCUGGGAUGGAUUCUUUACUGUACAAGAUGUGGACCAAAUGCUAUGGAUGCACUUGAAGAGUUUAUGCAAAUUUUUGUUGAUCAAUGUGCUUUCAUGGACUAUUUCAAGAGCAAGUGGCUACCAAGUAUAGAUAUGUGGAUUAAUGGCAUAAAGUCACUACCGUUGACAAUGCCCGAGUCACUUGCUGCAAUAGAAUCAUAUCACAUAAAAUUAAAAUCCACACUUUUGAAAGAGAAUAAUGCUAAUUUCUGGCCAAGACUUGACUGGUUAAUUCACACUUUAACUACUGGAUUUCUCUCCUUGUAUUGGCUAGACCAAUACAGUUUAGAUACUGGCUAUUUUGAGAAUCUACAAGACAAAUCUUUAUCUGCCAAUGCUUGGUAUCACGCGCUCAAUAUUCCAGAUGUUGAUGUGAUACUGGAUGAGCAAAAUCUCUGUCACGCAAAAGUUUUUUCUCAGACUGACAGAAACUUGGUGUAUACAGUUUGGAAUCCUGGCUCAGAAUUUUCACUUUGUGAUUGUUCUUGGUCUAGGUUGGGAAACCUUUGUAAACAUGUAAUCAAGGUGGCAACUUUCUGUAGAAGUCGGCAGGUUACAAGGCCAUUGUUGUCUGCUCAAGUUUAUAAACAGGCUUUGCUCACCCUUCUCCAUAAUCCACCAGAUGAUCCUUUAGUCCUUGAUCAUACCGUUCUACAUGUGGCUCGUUUGCAACAAGACAUUAAAGCCUUGGAAGAAUUGUCAAAUAGUGGAUUGCUCCAGCCUUUAGCCUCCGAUUUAAGUUCUCAAAUGGCCAUAAAUCCUCUCCUUUUUCAGCAUCUACAUUGAUUGCUGGUGUUUUUGAAUGGAAUGAGAAGUGGAUUUACUCCAGCCAAAGCUGUUGAUUUAAUUUAUCAAAUGGCUACAAGUCCUCCCACUUGGCAGUAGCUGCACUGAUUGGCAUGUUUUGAAAGAAGAUUGAUUGUGUUUGGGUUAAAGCUCAUUCUCAUGCUUCUUUAAUCAAGGGUAAUACUAUGGUGAGGAGUGAAAUUUUGAUGAAGAGUGAAGAUUACUUAUUUUAAUAAAGAAAAAGACCACACAAAAAAAUUAUCAUGCGCAAUGCACAUGUUCUUUAUAAAUUUAGUAAAAAUCUUCACUCUUCAUCCAAUUCUACUCUUCACCAAAGAAAUUCUCUUUAAUCAAUCUUACUUCAUGAUCCUUGAGCAGUCAUUUGCUAGAGCAGAAAAAGAAUAUAUAUUCCCUGCUGAGGUUCAACAACUGCAGAAGGUAUGUGGAGAUAACCUAUGGUUAAGGUUGUGUUUGUGAGUUGUGAUUUUGGAGGAAAACAAGGGGUUUCAACAGUAACUAGGAGUCCAUUUCACUCGUCAAACCCUUCAUUUCCUUCCCGUCGCACACACGAACACAUCCUUAAGCGAAAGAACUCUAGGUUGCCAAGAUAAUUGAGAGGGGAAGGAACAAAAGGGUCCGGAGGCACGAAAUGCAUUGAGACUUUCAUUUUGUCUUUGUGUUCCCUUGGGCUCUGGCGGUAGUGAUUGGGAUUUUGAUCCCUUAUUUUCUACAUCACCAUAUUGCAUCAGGAAAUUUAGAUGGGGAACGUUUGGCAUGGGGAGUGGUCUUCCAGAAACAAGAAAUAGCAUGGAAAAUAAUAUCAACAAUGUCAAGACUCAAAGUGACCACUGGCCAGGAUACUAGUAAAAUAAUAUGUUAAGAGCACUGCUCCAUUUUUUCAUACAAUCAUACCAUGUAAUUGAUAGCAUUGUUAACCCUUAGGAAUUGUCACAUAAUUGGGUAAGAUAUUCUGUAUAUCAUUAGUAAAUUAGAUUUUGCUGCGUUGAGUGUAGCCAUAUUGUUAGAUAAGAUAAUAGUUUAGUUCAUUGUUUGACAAGGAAAAAUAAAAAGUGAACUAAGCAGGAAAUUAAUUUCUACUA
Non-coding RNA from Arachis ipaensis, 3507 nucleotides. NCBI's taxonomy places the organism in Eukaryota, Viridiplantae, Streptophyta, Magnoliopsida, Fabales, Fabaceae. The record is from RefSeq and is a predicted model, not a curated record.